AGUGAACGCUGGCGGUAGGCCUAACACAUGCAAGUCGAACGGCAGCACAGUAAGAGCUUGCUCUUACGGGUGGCGAGUGGCGGACGGGUGAGGAAUACAUCGGAAUCUACUUUUUCGUGGGGGAUAACGUAGGGAAACUUACGCUAAUACCGCAUACGACCUACGGGUGAAAGCAGGGGAUCUUCGGACCUUGCGCGAUUGAAUGAGCCGAUGUCGGAUUAGCUAGUUGGCGGGGUAAAGGCCCACCAAGGCGACGAUCCGUAGCUGGUCUGAGAGGAUGAUAGGCGGCACGGGAACGGGAACGCGGACAAGGCGCCUACGGGAGGGAGCAGUGGGGAAUGUUGGGCAAUAGGGGGAAGCCUUGUCCAACCGUAGCGAGUGGGAUGCAGAGGCCUUCGGUUAGUGAAGACGGUUUGUUGGGUGAGAAAAGCAGCAGGUUGAGACCACGCGAUAGUGACGGUACCCAAAGAAUAAGCACCGGCUAACUACGUG
This 492-nucleotide ribosomal RNA is filed under the name uncultured bacterium. RNAcentral describes it as "partial 16S ribosomal RNA". It matches the Rfam family "Bacterial small subunit ribosomal RNA", at positions 30 to 507 of the family's 1533-position model. The record is from RNAcentral.